RNAcentral lists this unclassified non-coding RNA (441 nucleotides) under Hevea brasiliensis (rubber tree). The record is from RNAcentral. Lineage: Eukaryota; Viridiplantae; Streptophyta; Magnoliopsida; Malpighiales; Euphorbiaceae.
UAAAAAAAAAAAAAGAUUAUAUAGAAGAGAAUGAUAUUAGGAGAGUACCACCUAAACCCUUAGAAGAUUAAGAAUAAGAAAUUGCAUUGGAGACUAGCUAGAGGUAGAUGAGAAUUAUUGAUGAUGGAUUUAAUUUCUAGUAUUCUUCUUGUUGAAAUAUGAGGAUCUAGUUAUGAAUAGUGUUAAUUGUCUUCAUUAAUUUUAUUAUGAAUUAAAUUGAAAGUUCUUAAAAUUGACAUUAUUUGUAAAUAUUUGUGUGGCAUGUCGUAUUGUCUUGAUUUUUUAAAAAUUGUUGAAUUGUUGUGCUGCGUGUCCGUGCAACAUGGUGCACAGUUUGGUUUGGUUCUAUUCAUAUGAAACCUUUUCUUUUUAAUUUUUUGGGGAGUGGUGGAUGAGUAAACCAAAACUAAAAUAUAAUGGUUUGGUUUCUAAUUUAGUUUG